Molecule: ribosomal RNA, 648 nt
Filed under: Triticum aestivum (bread wheat)
Lineage: Eukaryota; Viridiplantae; Streptophyta; Magnoliopsida; Poales; Poaceae
Description: partial small subunit ribosomal RNA
Source: RNAcentral
AUGGCCACCUGCCUCUCAGACAUGAUUAGUGACCAUUCCCUUGACUUCCUGGGUCUGCAAGAAACUAUAAAGAAAGAGUUCACACCUAAGUGCUUGAGAAGAAUUGAUCCCUUUGACAUAUUCCAGUUGAAUUGUGUGCCUUCUAUGGGCAAAUCUGGGGGCAUUUUAUGUGGUGUGAGGAUAGAUACUUUUGAUAUAGUAUCCUGUGCUAAGGGCAAAUAUGUGUUGCAACUAGUGUUGUAUGACAAAGAAAAAAUACAGUGGGGUUUGCUGGUAGUUUAUGGAUCGGCACAUGAUGAGUUCAAAAAUGAAUUCCUGGUUGAGCUAGCAUCCUUUUAUAGUGGCAUGACCGUGCCCUACAUAGUGGGGGGAGACUUUAAUAUCUUGAGACAUUCGGGAGAGAAGAAUAAGAAUAUGGUGAACAACAAAGCCACUGGCCUAUUUAACUCCAUUAUCAAUACACUAGCUCUUAGGGAAAUUCAUAUCAGUGAGGGGAAAUAUACCUGGACCAACAACCAGACUCAUCCCACACUAGAAAAACUAGACCGAAUCCUUAUGUCUGAAUGCUGGGAAUAAAUCUUCCCACUGGUCUCUGUGAGGAAAUUAGUUCGGGAGAUUUCUGAUCAUAACCCACUUCUGUUGUCCUCC